AACGCUACCGGCGUGCCUAUUCAUGCAAGUAGCGCGGACUUGAUGGGGUGCUUGCACUCCUGAUGUUUAGCGGCGGACGGGUGCAGUAACACGUAGGCAACCUGCCCUCAAGACUGGGAUAACUACCGGAAACGGUAGCUAAUACCGGAUAAUUAAAUCUGCUGCAUGGCGGAGUUAUGAAAGGCGGAGCAAUCUGUCACUUGAGGAUGGGCCUGCGGCGCAUUAUCUAUGUUGGUGAGGUAACGGCUCACCAAGGCGACGAUGCGUAGCCGACCUGAGAGGGUGAACGGCCACACUGGACUGAGACACGGCCCAGACUCCUACGGGAGGCAGCAGUAGGGAAUCUUCCGCAAUGGGCGAAAGCCUGACGGAGCAACGCCGCGUGAGUGAUGAAGGUUUUCGGAUCGUAAAGCUCUGUUGCCAGGGAAGAACGUCUCAUAGAGUAACUGCUAUGAGAGUGACGGUACCUGAGAAGAAAGCCCCGGCUAACUACGUGCCAGCAGCCGCGGUAAUACGUAGGGGGCAAGCGUUGUCCGGAAUUAUUGGGCGUAAAGCGCGCGCAGGCGGUUCUUUAAGUCUGGUGUUUAAACCCGAGGCUCAACUUCGGGACGCACUGGAAACUGGGGAACUUGAGUGCAGAAGAGGAGAGUGGAAUUCCACGUGUAGCGGUGAAAUGCGUAGAUAUGUGGGAGGAACACCAGUGGCGAAGGCGACUCUCUGGGCUGUAACUGACGCUGAGGCCCGAAAAG
RNAcentral lists this ribosomal RNA (749 nucleotides) under Paenibacillus sp. PA9. Its description in RNAcentral is "bacterial SSU rRNA". It matches the Rfam family "Bacterial small subunit ribosomal RNA", at positions 32 to 760 of the family's 1533-position model. The record is from RNAcentral. Lineage: Bacteria; Bacillati; Bacillota; Bacilli; Caryophanales; Paenibacillaceae.